GAUGAACGCUAGCUACAGGCUUAACACAUGCAAGUCGAGGGGCAGCAUGGUCUUAGCUCGCUAAGGCCGAUGGCGACCGGCGCACGGGUGAGUAACACGUAUCCAACCUGCCGUCUACUCUUGGACAGCCUUCUGAAAGGAAGAUUAAUACAAGAUGGCAUCAUGAGUCCGCAUGUUCACAUGAUUAAAGGUAUUCCGGUAGACGAUGGGGAUGCGUUCCAUUAGAUAGUAGGCGGGGUAACGGCCCACCUAGUCUUCGAUGGAUAGGGGUUCUGAGAGGAAGGUCCCCCACAUUGGAACUGAGACACGGUCCAAACUCCUACGGGAGGCAGCAGUGAGGAAUAUUGGUCAAUGGGCGAGAGCCUGAACCAGCCAAGUAGCGUGAAGGAUGACUGCCCUAUGGGUUGUAAACUUCUUUUAUAAAGGAAUAAAGUCGGGUAUGCAUACCCGUUUGCAUGUACUUUAUGAAUAAGGAUCGGCUAACUCCGUGCCAGCAGCCGCGGUAAUACGGAGGAUCCGAGCGUUAUCCGGAUUUAUUGGGUUUAAAGGGAGCGUAGAUGGAUGUUUAAGUCAGUUGUGAAAGUUUGCGGCUCAACCGUAAAAUUGCAGUUGAUACUGGAUAUCUUGAGUGCAGUUGAGGCAGGCGGAAUUCGUGGUGUAGCGGUGAAAUGCUUAGAUAUCACGAAGAACUCCGAUUGCGAAGGCAGCCUGCUAAGCUGCAACUGACAUUGAGGCUCGAAAGUGUGGGUAUCAAACAGGAUUAGAUACCCUGGUAGUCCACACGGUAAACGAUGAAUACUCGCUGUUUGCGAUAUACAGCAAGCGGCCAAGCGAAAGCGUUAAGUAUUCCACCUGGGGAGUACGCCGGCAACGGUGAAACUCAAAGGAAUUGACGGGGGCCCGCACAAGCGGAGGAACAUGUGGUUUAAUUCGAUGAUACGCGAGGAACCUUACCCGGGCUUAAAUUGCAGAUGAAUUACGGUGAAAGCCGUAAGCCGCAAGGCAUCUGUGAAGGUGCUGCAUGGUUGUCGUCAGCUCGUGCCGUGAGGUGUCGGCUUAAGUGCCAUAACGAGCGCAACCCUUGUUGUCAGUUACUAACAGGUUCCGCUGAGGACUCUGACAAGACUGCCAUCGUAAGAUGUGAGGAAGGUGGGGAUGACGUCAAAUCAGCACGGCCCUUACGUCCGGGGCUACACACGUGUUACAAUGGGGGGUACAGAGGGCCGCUACCACGCGAGUGGAUGCCAAUCCCAAAAACCUCUCUCAGUUCGGACUGGAGUCUGCAACCCGACUCCACGAAGCUGGAUUCGCUAGUAAUCGCGCAUCAGCCACGGCGCGGUGAAUACGUUCCCGGGCCU
RNAcentral lists this ribosomal RNA (1358 nucleotides) under uncultured bacterium. RNAcentral describes it as "bacterial SSU rRNA". It matches the Rfam family "Bacterial small subunit ribosomal RNA", at positions 28 to 1381 of the family's 1533-position model. The record is from RNAcentral.